Bombus huntii is the source of this 4145-nucleotide long non-coding RNA. RefSeq lists it as uncharacterized. The record is from RefSeq and is a predicted model, not a curated record. Lineage: Eukaryota; Metazoa; Arthropoda; Insecta; Hymenoptera; Apidae. The transcript is spliced from 3 exons.
GUUUCUUGUGGGCACCUUCACCAAUAACAACCACCUCAUAACAAUGAAAUACAGAACACCGUCCGUAGCGUUCGAACGUACUGGAACUUUUCGACGCAAAAUCUAAACAGCGCGAUCGCAGCGACUCAACCGGUUAAAACGAAGAAACCGUGACUCGACAUUGCGAUAAACAUCUGCGCGCUCGAUUCUGACACUCGCGUCGUCAAUUUCUCUACGAUCUUUGUUCGUUUGCGAGCCUCGACAGCGUAGAGAAGAAAAGGAAUCGUCGAUAACCAGCUCGGACCAACCCUGGCCAUGCAACCUCGUGAAAAUAGACUAAUUCGGCGCAGAAUGUGCAGCAGCAGGUUGGGUCAAACAGAAAGAGUCACUGAUAUUUCGCAACUAGCGAUGAAAAGAAGCAAGAACGGAUCACAGCGAUCGAUCGUGAGUUCGAUUGGAGCGGACGGCCGCGGCGUGGGCGGCGGGGUGCGUUUUUAAUUGCUUAUCGGCCAUCAACAGCACUCAGACGCUUUUUCUCCUUCUCUUUUGUGCGCGAACGCCGCGGCGCGCCGCGGUGUAUACACCGUGGCGUCGGUAUCAACGCGACGUCGCAUCGAUUCGAGAAAAGUAAAAAGCAUCGCGCGAUAUCGAAGGCUGCAGUGGCCGAACAAGCGAGUGUGUGCUGUUCGUCGAUCGGAAUACGUCAUUCGGCAGAGUAUAGGUGUAAGAGGAGUGUCAUCGUGGCUCGUUUACCGUCACCCGAUGCCUAGUGGUCUUAUUUGUACACGGAUCGGUUAACGCGUCGAUCGCCCGCGAUGAUCGGACCAAAGGACGUUUUACGAUUCAUUUAGAACGAUCGAAAGAAGAUCGAGUUCCUGGACUGAUCAAUUUUCAACGAUGCGAGCAAUUUGGAUAAAUAUGGUCGGAAGGAUGUACGUAAAUAUCGUGUGAUAUUUUGCAAAGUGUUGAGAUAUGUAUAAUUUUCUGUGCUGCACUAGGUUAAAUGCGUAGUAGAGAUACUUGUAUGUGAAUAUCAGUGUGUGGAAGUAUGUGUGUCCGAAGCGUCUCGAAAACAAAUGAAUGUAAACUCUUCAGUCGGUUAAGAGUCGUCGGUUUACAGUCGGGUAUAGAAGAAAAUGCUGAGACGCGUGCAAGUGUGUAUCGAUGAAUAUAUAAGGAAUCGUCCAUGAAAUGAAUAUUUCAUUAUUUUAAUAUUAAUCCUCGGUAUAAAUUUAGUGUUCCUAUAACAUUAUUUCGGCCUCAAAGAUCCACAAUUCUCAACACGAAGAUUAAACAUUAUGGCGAAGUAUACUUCGAUGUAUCGCGGCUUCCUCAGCAAGAUGUACGCGUAAGUGAUAGUCGACGUGUUAAUCCGACGAAUAAGUUACUCUUCCUCUAAGAAAGAAAAAAGGAAACAAACAGAGUUUGUUUUAGAGUAACGUUCAAUCGGGCUGUUUCCAUUUUCGAUAAAUUGGAACGAGCUUCGGGAAGUUUCAGGAUCACGAAAUUCGAAAACGAAGAACGGAGGGAGAGGAAUUGCGACACGGGAUGCGACAUGGACGAUGCGAGAACCGUCGAUUACUCGCGGAUAUCCCAGAUGACAGAAGCGGAAAAAGAAAGACGAAGAUACCGAGGCAGGAAGAGAAAAAAGAAAAGCGCCCACGCCCGGACCGCGCCCGGAUUCGCGUGUAUCUUCGAGAGGGAAAAAAGGAAGAAGGGAAAAAGGGGAAAAAGGGAGAAAAGAGCGGUUGGUCGAGGGAAGGAAAUAUCAGGAAUAGGGACUGUAAAGCGAGUUCCCGAGACUAGCUCCCGAAUCGAGAUUGGAAUUGAGAUUGGAUCGCGACAACGUACAAUUGGAUGAGAUGUGAACGCGGUAUCAAUGACGACAUUGACCCUAGCCGCAUGAUGCGGUUGCUUCGAAAAACCUGGGAAAUUUAUUCGAUCGAUCGUUGGGUGGGCUCGGCAAGAAACUAGGCGAACUUCUGCUUCUUUCUUACUUUUCGUCGCGCUUACGGACUUUUAGAGAUGAUCGGACGCGUUAAAAAAUCAUUACCUCGAUCGAUUUAAAUAUUCGCGCGAUUAUUAUUACAUCGUGGAUGUUCUUGCAAAUUCGUUGUUUUACGAACGUAACUGAAAAGAUUGAAACUAAAUCGAGAUUUGUUUUAUUUCGUAAAUAUUACAAGAAUUAUUCUACUUUGAAUAUUUUUUUUUACAACUACUCUGGUAAAUUACGUACAUCCUUAAUAAAUGCGUAAGCAUCCGCGAUCUAAUUAUCAACUAUAUCUUUUCAUUAUGCGAUCCCACACACGCUGCGAACGAUCUUAUAAUCCGGAUUCUCGGAAUUUCGUAAUAAAUUCGCAGCAAGUUCCUAUAAAUAUUCAAAUCACCCGCGUGAAUCACCGUAUCUUCCGCUUUACGUAAUUCAAUUCGAUGCUAAUGAACAUUUUAAUUCUGCCCGUAUCGCGCUUCUCUGUAUAAUUAACUAGCUGUAAAACCUAUCGUAUCCUGCGAUCAUGUUUCGAUCAGAGGCGAGCUCUCCCACAAAACCGUAUCGUACACCAACUUUCGACGGCGUCGUACAACAAAAAUUCAUGCAAACUGCUAUAAGCAGAGUAAUGAGAGCGAUGUAGCCCGCGGUACUUCGACAAUAAGAAAUAUCGUCAAGGGAGACAGUCGCGUCGUUCGUCCGACGUAAAUUCCGAAAGUUAGUUGUUCGCCGCUCGAACGAAACUUGUUCCAAAGAAUCUUUCGCGGCUAAAAACCAGCAUUCCGUUGCUUUCAAACUUGGCUCCUGUUUUCCUUCUCUUCUUGCAACUCGGUAAAAUUUGCAAAUUGCAGAUUCAUUGCCGGUAAUCGUAUAACGUAACGCGGUGACAAGGCGCGGCACAACGCGCGUCGUGAAAAUGCUCGUCGCGCCGCGGCGAGACAAAACGCGCUAUGGCGAACGCAUACAACGGCAGAGCACUUAGGCGUACGUGCAUCGGGAUCGGUUGACCUCCUCCCCGACACUGUCUGCGAAAGCUUUUACGACCAAGUACCGAGUGCUAAGCUUCCAUCGUACCUGCAAACCUCGACAAAAGUAACUCGUCCCAUUCCGUACCGUACCGUACCGUCCCGCUUUCCUGCGAUUCGUUUCGUCUCGUUCGCCCCGCGAGCACAAACUUCGAUUCGAUCCCGAUUCGCCCUUUCUCUCAUUUUCCGACUCGUUUGCGACUCACGAUCGCGCGUUGGAAAGCGUCAACGACUCGCAGCGCCCAACGUUCAAUCCCCCCCCCCCCCCCUCCGAAACGAAAUGCGAUACUUUGAAAGGCAGCGAUUUUGCUCGCCGAUAUCGACGAACGAUCUUAUAUUGGGUUGGUAACUAAGUGAUUGCGGAUUUUGUCAUUAGGUGGUAUCGACAAAAUCCGCAAUCACUUAGUUGCCAAACAAAUAGUUCAGAUCCUGAGCAAUUAGUCGGCGGAGGUGACCUCCUUUCUCAUGGAUAGUCGAACAAAGACUGUUCAGUGCGAAUGUCCUGUCUCGGACCAAGUAUAAUAUACUUUUGGUGCGCUGCAGAAUUUUAGUAAUCUGUAGCGGCGUAUGUGUCUUAGAACGUUUCGAUACGAAGAUGCCUUACAUGAUUGUUUUGCCACAGAGGAUUAACACUGUACGACGCAUAUAAUGUAAUAAACAAACUCUGCACAAAGCAGAAUACAACCGGCGACAAGUUCAAACUUUCCGGUAUCUCCCCUCCACUAGUAUAAAUAGACGACCACGUUCUCCAGAAGUCAGUCAGUCGAGCGAAUAAGUACAACGAAUCAGUCUAGCGAAUCAGCAUAACAAUUAGUAUCAGUACCGCAGUAUCGCGCAAUCUUAUAACGAAUAUCAUCGAGCGAGCAAAGGUUGCGAUUAAAUUUGUGUUGUUAUUUCUGUAUUCAGAGGUAGGAUCAUAUUAGCUAUUAUUUUAUUCUUUGAGCCGAGAAACCUUUAUUGCACUUUCUUACAUGGACUAGGGAUAAAAACAAAAGAACAUCUUAAACCUAUCGAUUGUAUCUAGAACUAUAUUCUAGUUACUAUUUAUUGUAACUAGCGCGUCUGCACAUAGAUGGCGAGCGCGAACUCACGUCAUUUUUAACACUUUGUAUUCUACAUUUUAAAAUAUCUGUAAAUAUAUUUAAUUAAAUUAA